This 549-nucleotide ribosomal RNA is filed under the name Chelon saliens (leaping mullet). RNAcentral describes it as "partial 16S ribosomal RNA". It matches the Rfam family "Bacterial large subunit ribosomal RNA", at positions 1852 to 2598 of the family's 2925-position model. The record is from RNAcentral. Lineage: Eukaryota; Metazoa; Chordata; Actinopteri; Mugiliformes; Mugilidae.
GUCCUGCCUGCCCUGUGACCCCUGGUUCAACGGCCGCGGUAUUUUGACCGUGCAAAGGUAGCGCAAUCACUUGUCUCUUAAAUGAGGACCUGUAUGAAUGGCACAACGAGGGCUUAACUGUCUCCUUUCCCCGGUCAGUGAAAUUGAUCUUCCCGUGCAGAAGCGGGAAUCCUAACAUAAGACGAGAAGACCCUAUGGAGCUUUAGACUCCAGAACAGAUCAUGUAAGCUACCCCCAUAAAACAGGUAAUAACUAUUGAAUUUCUGUUCCCCUGUCUUUGGUUGGGGCGACCACGGGGAAGAAAAAAACCCCCAUGUGGACCAGGAGCACAUUACUCCUACAACCAUGAGCCACAGCUCUAAUGCACAAAACCUUUGACCAUUAGAUCCGGCAAAGCCGAUCAACGGACCAAGUUACCCUAGGGAUAACAGCGCAAUCCCCUUUAAGAGUCCAUAUCGACAAGGGGGUUUACGACCUCGAUGUUGGAUCAAGACAUCCUAAUGGUGCAGCCGCUAUUAAGGGUUCGUUUGUUCAACGAUUAAAGUCUUA